RNAcentral lists this ribosomal RNA (235 nucleotides) under uncultured bacterium. Its description in RNAcentral is "partial 16S ribosomal RNA". It matches the Rfam family "Bacterial small subunit ribosomal RNA", at positions 524 to 758 of the family's 1533-position model. The record is from RNAcentral.
UACGGGGGGGGCAAGCGUUGUUCGGAAUUACUGGGCGUAAAGGGCUCGUAGGCGGCCAACUAAGUCAGACGUGAAAUCCCUCGGCUUAACCGGGGAACUGCAUCUGAUACUGGAUGGCUUGAGUUCGGGAGAGGGAUGCGGAAUUCCAGGUGUAGCGGUGAAAUGCGUAGAUAUCUGGAGGAACACCGGUGGCGAAGGCGGUUCUCUGGGCAUUACCUGACGCUGAGGAGCGAAA